UCUUCUUCUUCACCCCGCCCCACCGCCACCGGAAGAGGAAGGCCCAAAUUAAUGCUGCCUCCGCCUCUACCCACCGCCGGAGGAGUAAGCCCCAAAUUAUCCUAGAUAGCCAAAAACCUUGCUGAUAAACCUUGGACCGGAAUCUGAAAAAGCCAGUGUCAUUUUCCUAGUCAUUUAAUAAACCUUGCUUCUAUUGUCAAAUCCCAAUUCCCAACUCAGCCAAGAAACCUCAAUACUCUCCUCUCCUCUGUCUCGCCUAAUAUCAACACCAAUGGAAAUUUGAUUCACUAACCCAUCUGUUUUCUUGCUUUUUCCAUACGCUAGUAAAUACCAGUCGUACAAAAAUGGAGUCAAGGGUUCAUGGUGUCCCUCUUUCCACUACACAAAUGGCGCCAAAGGUCCCUGUUUCCAGUUCAUUAUCAGGUAUUAGAGCUCCCCUUACAAUGGAUGAUUCUGACUUUGAAUAUUCUGUUUCAGCCAAAAGUCAUAAAAAUAGUUCUGUUAGUAGUUAUAGUAGUGGGAGUGAGUCGGAGUAUGAGGACUUUGUGAGUGGUGAAGAUGAGUUUGAAAGUGCAUCUGAGAGGC
This 585-nucleotide long non-coding RNA is filed under the name Olea europaea (common olive). RNAcentral describes it as "long non-coding RNA (OEUR_LNC002100)". The record is from RNAcentral. Lineage: Eukaryota; Viridiplantae; Streptophyta; Magnoliopsida; Lamiales; Oleaceae.